This 390-nucleotide long non-coding RNA is filed under the name Nicotiana benthamiana. RNAcentral's name for it is "long non-coding RNA (NBEN_LNC002114)". The record is from RNAcentral. Lineage: Eukaryota; Viridiplantae; Streptophyta; Magnoliopsida; Solanales; Solanaceae.
UACAUCUUCAUGCGUAGAGCAGGAAAUAAUUCUCAAAUUAGAGGUUGAAAAUCACAUUAUACCUAUGCGAAAGUGUCGUCCGAUUGUACUAUGAGAAACUGCUUUUAAGGUAUUGCCUGCUACGUUUGAUGGGCUUCUAAACUAAGAACAUAUACGUUUCAUCUAUCACAUCUUAAUGUAAACUAUUACAGGUGCGAAGGUGUAAGCUUCGAUCAACCAAAUGCAGAUAUUUUUUGACCACUUUGUUAUCAAUCUCUAUGAUUCCUGGAAUUUAUCAAGGUGAACUCAAUUACUGCAAAAUAACAAACAUCCUUAGGUCCAUGUUCCGCAUGUCAUGACAUUAUCUAUUUAUUUUGUCCAAGCUAGAUCUGGUAUUUCACUAAAUAGGUC